GAAAAAGGAACUUCUAUUAAGGUCGCCCACGUCCUGUGGGCAACAUAGAAGUCAGCACCUCGUGUGCA
RNAcentral lists this small RNA (68 nucleotides) under Virgibacillus necropolis. Its description in RNAcentral is "Bacillaceae-1 RNA". It matches the Rfam family "Bacillaceae-1 RNA". The record is from Rfam by way of RNAcentral. Lineage: Bacteria; Bacillati; Bacillota; Bacilli; Caryophanales; Bacillaceae.